UUCUCUAUUCAAUGUCAUAUAUAAAAAAAAAUUGAUUCUUAUAUGCGCAUUAAUAAGUCAUUCAUUGGCUCUUCUGUUUAAACACCAAUUAACCUAUACGUGAGUUAUUGCAUCCCAAGCAUAAACUCUUGCGUAUGUGUACGAUUUCUUUUUACUCAAAGCUUAAAUUGGCCGGUUUGGAUUUUGUUGGUGAUUCGAAGAGAGCUAAAUCAAGAAAAACGAACUAGAUGAUGAGAUGCCACCAGAGACCAGAGGAAGAGAGUCGGUGGAGUGUUCACGAUUGAUGACCGAAGCAAACGGGGAGCUAAGGCAAAUCUCUUCAAAAGGCAAGGAGGAGUGGUAGAUGGAAGACCCUUGAAGAAGUAUCUGUUCGAUUAUAGCCAUCGCCACUUGGAAUCACCGUAAGACUCGCCAUCCAUGGAAAGAGAGGAGCUCGGGUUCGUCUCGAUGAUAUCGAAGAAGAGAAAGAAAUGAGUAAAGUCAAUUGGGUCCAAGGUGAAGUUUGCAUAAACAAGUGGGCCACAAUUGAGUAAAAUCUCACCUCAAAGUCCCGUUCCGGCA
RNAcentral lists this long non-coding RNA (561 nucleotides) under Brassica napus (rape). RNAcentral's name for it is "long non-coding RNA (BNAP_LNC018501)". Lineage: Eukaryota; Viridiplantae; Streptophyta; Magnoliopsida; Brassicales; Brassicaceae. The record is from RNAcentral.